RNAcentral lists this ribosomal RNA (270 nucleotides) under uncultured archaeon. RNAcentral describes it as "partial 16S ribosomal RNA". It matches the Rfam family "Archaeal small subunit ribosomal RNA", at positions 477 to 747 of the family's 1478-position model. The record is from RNAcentral.
CAGCACCUCAAGUGGUCAGGAUGAUUAUUGGGCCUAAAGCAUCCGUAGCCGGCGCUGUAAGUUUUCGGUUAAAUCUGUACGCUCAACGUACAGGCUGCCGGGAAUACUGCAGCGCUAGGGAGUGGGAGAGGUAGACGGUACUCGGUAGGAAGGGGUAAAAUCCUUUGAUCUAUUGAUGACCACCUGUGGCGAAGGCGGUCUACCAGAACACGUCCGACGGUGAGGGAUGAAAGCGGGGGGAGCAAACCGGAUUAGAUACCCGAGUAGUCC